UAGGGAAUCUUCCGCAAUGGACGAAAGUCUGACGGAGCAACGCCGCGUGAGUGAUGAAGGUUUUCGGAUCGUAAAACUCUGUUGUUAGGGAAGAACAAGUAUCGUUCGAAUAGGGCGGUACCUUGACGGUACCUAACCAGAAAGCCACGGCUAACUACGUGCCAGCAGCCGCGGUAAUACGUAGGUGGCAAGCGUUGUCCGGAAUUAUUGGGCGUAAAGCGCGCGCAGGCGGUUUCUUAAGUCUGAUGUGAAAUCUUGCGGCUCAACCGCAAGCGGCCAUUGGAAACUGGGAGACUUGAGUGCAGAAGAGGAGAGUGGAAUUCCACGUGUAGCGGUGAAAUGCGUAGAGAUGUGGAGGAACACCAGUGGCGAAGGCGACUCUCUGGUCUGUAACUGACGCUGAGGCGCGAAAGCGUGGGGAGCGAACAGGAUUAGAUACCCUGGUAGUCCACGCCGUAAACGAUGAGUGCUAAGUGUUAGAGGGUUUCCGCCCUUUAGUGCUGCAGCUAACG
RNAcentral lists this ribosomal RNA (512 nucleotides) under uncultured bacterium. Its description in RNAcentral is "bacterial SSU rRNA". It matches the Rfam family "Bacterial small subunit ribosomal RNA", at positions 355 to 857 of the family's 1533-position model. The record is from RNAcentral.